UACGGGAGGCAGCAGUGAGGAAUAUUGGUCAAUGGGCGCGAGCCCGAACCAGCCAAGUAGCGUGCAGGACGACGGCCCUAUGGGUUGUAAACUGCUUUUAUGCGGGGAUAAAGUGAGGGACGUGUCCCUUAUUGCAGGUACCGCAUGAAUAAGGACCGGCUAAUUCCGUGCCAGCAGCCGCGGUAAU
RNAcentral lists this ribosomal RNA (187 nucleotides) under uncultured rumen bacterium. Its description in RNAcentral is "partial 16S ribosomal RNA". It matches the Rfam family "Bacterial small subunit ribosomal RNA", at positions 340 to 524 of the family's 1533-position model. The record is from RNAcentral.